This 1090-nucleotide ribosomal RNA is filed under the name Stachybotrys bisbyi. Its description in RNAcentral is "SSU rRNA". It matches the Rfam family "Eukaryotic small subunit ribosomal RNA", at positions 40 to 1142 of the family's 1831-position model. Lineage: Eukaryota; Fungi; Ascomycota; Sordariomycetes; Hypocreales; Stachybotryaceae. The record is from RNAcentral.
AAGAUUAAGCCAUGCAUGUCUAAGUAUAAGCAAUUAUACAGCGAAACUGCGAAUGGCUCAUUAUAUAAGUUAUCGUUUAUUUGAUAGUGCCUUACUACUUGGAUAACCGUGGUAAUUCUAGAGCUAAUACAUGCUAAAAAUCCCGACUUCGGAAGGGAUGUAUUUAUUAGAUUAAAAACCAAUGCCCUCUGGGCUCUUUGGUGAUUCAUGAUAACUUCUCGAAUCGCACGGCCUUGCGCCGGCGAUGGCUCAUUCAAAUUUCUUCCCUAUCAACUUUCGAUGUUUGGGUAGUGGCCAAACAUGGUUGCAACGGGUAACGGAGGGUUAGGGCUCGACCCCGGAGAAGGAGCCUGAGAAACGGCUACUACAUCCAAGGAAGGCAGCAGGCGCGCAAAUUACCCAAUCCCGAUUCGGGGAGGUAGUGACAAUAAAUACUGAUACAGGGCUCUUUCGGGUCUUGUAAUCGGAAUGAGUACAAUUUAAAUCCCUUAACGAGGAACAAUUGGAGGGCAAGUCUGGUGCCAGCAGCCGCGGUAAUUCCAGCUCCAAUAGCGUAUAUUAAAGUUGUUGUGGUUAAAAAGCUCGUAGUUGAACCUUGGGCCUGGCUGGCCGGUCCGCCUCACCGCGAGUACUGGUCCGGCCGGGUCUUUCCCUCUGUGGAACCCCAUGCCCUUCACUGGGUGUGGCGGGGAAACAGGACUUUUACUUUGAAAAAAUUAGAGUGCUCCAGGCAGGCCUAUGCUCGAAUACAUUAGCAUGGAAUAAUAGAAUAGGACGUGUGGUUCUAUUUUGUUGGUUUCUAGGACCGCCGUAAUGAUUAAUAGGGACAGUCGGGGGCAUCAGUAUUCAAUUGUCAGAGGUGAAAUUCUUGGAUUUAUUGAAGACUAACUACUGCGAAAGCAUUUGCCAAGGAUGUUUUCAUUAAUCAGGAACGAAAGUUAGGGGAUCGAAAACGAUCAGAUACCGUUGUAGUCUUAACCAUAAACUAUGCCGACUCGGGAUCGGACGAUGUUAUUUUUUGACUCGUUCGGCACCGUACGAUAAAUCAAAGUGCUUGGGCUCCAGGGGGAGUAUGGUCGCAAGGCUGAAA